RNAcentral lists this ribosomal RNA (433 nucleotides) under uncultured bacterium. RNAcentral describes it as "partial 16S ribosomal RNA". It matches the Rfam family "Bacterial small subunit ribosomal RNA", at positions 29 to 507 of the family's 1533-position model. The record is from RNAcentral.
AACGAACGCUGGCGGCAUGCCUAACACAUGCAAGUCGAACGAGACCUUCGGGUCUAGUGGCGCACGGGUGCGUAACGCGUGGGAACCUGCCCUUAGGUUCGGAAUAACUCCCCGAAAGGGGUGCUAAUACCGGAUAAUGUCUUCGGACCAAAGAUUUAUCGCCUUUGGAUGGGCCCGCGUUGGAUUAGCUAGUUGGUAGGGUAAAAGCCUACCAAGGCGACGAUCCAUAGCUGGUCUGAGAGGAUGAUCAGCCACACUGGGACUGAGACACGGCCCAGACUCGUACGGGAGGCAGCAGUGGGGAAUAUUGGACGAUGGGCGAAAGCCUGAUCCAGCAAUGCCGCGUGAGUGAUGAAGGCCUUAGGGUUGUAAAGCUCUUUUACCCGGGAUGAUAAUGACAGUACCGGGAGAAUAAGCGCCGGCUAACUCCGUG